Molecule: long non-coding RNA, 3078 nt
Organism: Uranotaenia lowii
Lineage: Eukaryota; Metazoa; Arthropoda; Insecta; Diptera; Culicidae
Exons: 4
Source: RefSeq, a predicted model, not a curated record
UAGCAGCGAUAUGAACUCAUCGAAGCUGAUACCCUCGAUCGGCUGGAGGGAAAGUUUGGUGAACACUUCCUGGGCCGCGAGCUUAGCUGGAAGCUUCUGCAGGCCAACCCGUUCGCAGACCACCUCCAACUGGCCUCGAUUAAGCAGAUCUCCGUGGCCGCCAUCCAGGAGCGAGUCCCAGACCUCCCGCAGGUUUUCCGACAAACGCAUAAAGUAAAUCUUUUUAUCGAUCGUCUCAUCCAUGUUCAGCUGAUCGCGAACGUUUUUCGUGUUUAUGAGCGUUCGAUUAACAAGGUCUGGCCGCUGUCGAUGAGUCGGUAGAGAGGCACACCGUUUCAGCCUGUUGACGCCUAGGGGGCGCUUUCGUUUAGAACCGUGUAUAUCGCUCUGGGAUGCGGAUCGCUGCACUUGUUUGGAGGAAUUGUUUUUACCAUCUUCGGUGGAGCUUUGCUGCUGCUGCUGCUGUUGGGGAACGGAUUCAUUGUCCGAGUUGCUGACAUCCGAGCCACUGUCCAGUCCGUUGCAGUCAUCGGUUCGGGGACGCGAUCGACGGCCGUAUUUUUUCGUCCCAACCACAAACUUGGGCGACACUUCCCGAUCUGAUGAUACGUGCUCAUCAUCAUUAUCGGAAUGCUGACCCGUUGUUGUUGUGGGGAGCUGCAUAGUCGAUGAUACCGAAUCCCCUGAUGGUGCCAUCUUUUUCUGGUUGCCACUUCCAAUGAUCACCGAUUGGCCAUCGGCCGUUUCUACUACGGCCGCAUUAGUUGGCGAUGAUGAGUUACUAAUUCGACAGGUUAGGUGUGGAGGCCGUUUCUUCGAUGAGAGUCUUAUACUAGUCGGGCUCGUUGCUGCAUUUGAAUUAUCACUUCCGCCUCCACUCGAUAAAGUUGCUGCCGUGGGCGAUUCUGACGGAAUGUUCUGGCCAUUUUCAGUCGCAUCUGUUGAGGAGAAAGAACAAAACAAAAUUAGAAGUUUUACAAAUUGAUGGCGAGUUAAAAGAAGAUGGAAGCACCCCCACCAAAGAAUGUUUCACCCAUCGAAAUCUUACACAGUAUGAUUAACAUGACGGCAGGGCGAAUGAUGAAACGGCCCUGAUAUAAUGCCGCUUUGGGCCACCACCAAGUCGUCUUCGUGACUGCACUCGGGCAAUCGCUCGAACCGAAUGCCUUCGCAGGUUAGCCAUUAGCUUAACAAAAAACACCAAGCAGUAAUGCUAUUCCGCCUAAACUUAAAACCAUAUAAACUCCACAUACGCAUCAAGCAGCAGCGCAGUCAACCAACGCGAUUAUUUACCAUCAUUAACAUUGGGCCAGCCAGCAGUUCGGCUUCGGUUUAAGAUCGAUGGCAAUCGACGACGACGACGGGGGAUCGCAAAAAUGAACUUAAACAACACCUCCACCAACCAACUAACUGCCGCUAAACUUAGCAAAAGCAACAGGCAGCAAGUGUUUACAAGAUCUGUAAUUGUAUUUAUGUGCGAGAAUCAGCACCUCUCUAGGUAGGUAUAUCUAGCUUAGCCUAGUCUAGAGCUUCAACGGCAAUCGAGUUGCGCGAGACACCCCGUAUGGAUAAAGGGUAGGAACCCUGCUUCACGAGUUUACGGUCGUUGUUCUGUUUACACUUAAUUUCCUUCCAAUCAAUUUAAGAGCCGUUCAUUGGGGGGGAAGGUCGUCAAUUUUGUGUACCUUUUUUUUGGAACCAUGUUUACAAAUUUAAAAAAAGAAACAAGUGGCUAAGGAAAGCUAUUCCAAAUUAAACAAGGUGGCUUUAAAAGGUAAGUCACCUUUGUUUACACCUUGUAACUCUUCCUGGUGAGAUCUUGGUGCGAUGUGAUUAAGUGUGUCUUAUGGAAAAAUGUGGACGAGAACACACAGUUGAUUCUAGAUGUUCCGGUUUGUGCCUUACCUUACACGGAAAAAUUUAGUUAUUCAUAAAAUGUGUUGAGAAUAUACGUUCAUCAUAACUAAUCGAUUGAUGCUCAAUAUUUGUAUACCCCCAAUUCAAUUUUGAGUAGUUUUGGGUGGACAAUAUACAAAUGAAAACUAAAUCUCGAUUAUUCAUGCUCUGAAUAAAAAGUUUGCUGUUGUUGGAAUUUUAUUUGAAGGGGUGUCAGAGCGGAAAAAACAAAAAGUUUUGAAACUUUUUGGUGGUAUAUCGCGGACGUUGUAAGGUGCGAACCAGUUCCGACGAAGCUCUAAGCAAGAAAAGGUACGGAAAGGUAAGGCGCAGAAUAUCCGCGUCGGUAUGGAACGGAAGAACCUGAGAAACGAGUUCGAUCUGACCGGGGAAAUUCUCGGAAUCAAUCCGUACAUUGCCACCCUGUGGAUCUUUCGGCGGAUGUGGAUCAAACGGCAUGAGUAAGUCCAUUGUAUCUUUUUUUUUUUCUUUGAUGUAAGAUUUCGAGCUUAUAAAAUUUUUCUUAUUAGAUGAACUAUCAACUUCAUUUAUUUCCAGGAAAAUGCAAAAAAAAAAUAAAAAACGGCAAGUGAACCAGAAAUUGUACUGUGCCUGUAUCACCGGUGUUGGAUUCUGGAAACGCUCCGACGGACCCAAGAAACUAUAAGUCGAUUUCUUCUCACGGCAUUUACUGUCAUUUUCGGAUAAUCAACGAUAGGUUGCAAAACAAACUGUUCCCAAAGUUCAGCUGAACUUAUAAACCGAUACCGAUACGAUUCAGAACAGCAUUUCCAGCUACUCAUCGUGCCACUACCGAAGGAAGCUGCUUCGGUGCUUGAUUUCCAACAUUCAAUCGGCGGCUUCAUAUUCAUUCAUUCAACACUUCGCGUAUACUGCAUUCCCAUACAAACAUCUAAACUUCAUACUGCAAGCUUGACGGAAGAGUCUUUUAAUUCUGGUCAUCUCAUCGGAACUUUUUUAAAAGAUCCUCGAUUCCCCCUGGGCCCCCUCUAGGUUAGGCAACAUGUUGAUGUGGUCCGUACCGGAUGUUCAAACGAAUGUCUUACCAGUUGAACCUUGAACCAUGUUUGGUGUUACGUUUGUUGCGGAUCUAAAUGAGAAAGAACAUUCCGGCAUUAGAAUUACCGGUAUUAUGUGUAUUUGACAAUAAAUAUUUUAUAG